Molecule: ribosomal RNA, 492 nt
Filed under: uncultured bacterium
Lineage: Bacteria
Description: partial 16S ribosomal RNA
Rfam family: Bacterial small subunit ribosomal RNA
Source: RNAcentral
AGUGAACGCUGGCGGUAGGCCUAACACAUGCAAGUCGAACGGCAGCACAGUAAGAGCUUGCUCUUACGGGUGGCGAGUGGCGGACGGGUGAGGCAUACAUCGGAAUCUACUUUUUCGUGGGGGAUAACGUAGGGAAACUUACGCUAAUACCGCAUACGACCUACGGGUGAAAGCAGGGGAUCUUCGGACCUUGCGCGAUUGAAUGAGCCGAUGUCGGAUUAGCUAGUUGGCGGGGUAAAGGCCCACCAAGGCGACGAUCCGUAGCUGGUCUGAGAGGAUGAUCAGCCACACUGGAACUGAGACACGGUCCAGACUCCUACGGGAGGCAGCAGUGGGGAAUAUUCGACAAUGGGCGAAAGCCUGAUCCAGCCAUACCGCGUGGGUGAAGAAGGCCUUCGGGUUGUAAAGCCCUUUUGUUGGGAAAGAAAAGCAGCAGGUUAAUACCCCGCUGUUCUGACGGUACCCAAAGAAUAAGCACCGGCUAACUUCGUG